AUGGACCCGCGGAGCAUUAACUAUUUGGUGAGGUAAUGGCUCACCAAGGCAACGAUGCGUAGCCGACCUGAGAGGGUGAUCGGCCACACUGGGACUGAGACACGGCCCAGACUCCUACGGGAGGCAGCAGUAGGGAAUCUUCCGCAAUGGACGAAAGUCUGACGGAGCAACGCCGCGUGAGUGAUGAAGGCCUUCGGGUCGUAAAGCUCUGUUGUUAGGGAAGAACAAGUACCGUUCAAAUAGGGCGGUACCAUGACGGUACCUAACCAGAAAGCCACGGCUAACUACGUGCCAGCAGCCGCGGUAAUACGUAGGUGGCAAGCGUUGUCCGGAAUUAUUGGGCGUAAAGGGCUCGCAGGCGGUUCCUUAAGUCUGAUGUGAAAGCCCACGGCUCAACCGUGGAGGGUCAUUGGAAACUGGGGAACUUGAGUACAGAAGAGGAGAGUGGAAUUCCACGUGUAGCGGUGAAAUGCGUAGAGAUGUGGAGGAACACCAGUGGCGAAGGCGACUCUCUGGUCUGUAACUGACGCUGAGGAGCGAAAGCGUGGGGAGCGAACAGGAUUAGAUACCCUGGUAGUCCACGCCGUAAACGAUGAGUGCUAAGUGUUAGAGGGUUUCCGCCCUUUAGUGCUGCAGCAAA
RNAcentral lists this ribosomal RNA (640 nucleotides) under Bacillus sp. COL-31. RNAcentral's name for it is "bacterial SSU rRNA". It matches the Rfam family "Bacterial small subunit ribosomal RNA", at positions 225 to 855 of the family's 1533-position model. The record is from RNAcentral. Lineage: Bacteria; Bacillati; Bacillota; Bacilli; Caryophanales; Bacillaceae.